RNAcentral lists this transfer RNA (85 nucleotides) under Felis catus (domestic cat). It matches the Rfam family "tRNA". From Rfam's summary of the family: Transfer RNA (tRNA) molecules are approximately 80 nucleotides in length. Their secondary structure includes four short double-helical elements and three loops (D, anti-codon, and T loops). The record is from Rfam by way of RNAcentral. Lineage: Eukaryota; Metazoa; Chordata; Mammalia; Carnivora; Felidae.
GCCUGGGUGGCUCAGUCAGUUGAGCGUCCGAUUUCAAUUCAGGGCAUGAUCUCACGGUUUGUGGGUUUGAGCCCCGCAUCAGGCU